CCCUUAGAUGUUCUGGGCCGCACGCGUGCUACACUGAAGGGAUCAGCGUGUUUUCCCUUUCCGAGAGGAACGGGUAACCCGCUGAACCCCCUUCGUGGUAGGGAUCGGAGCUUGCAAUUGUUCUCCGUGAACCAGGAAUUCCCAGUAAGCGCAAGUCAUAAGCUUGCGUUGAUUACGUCCCUGCCCUUUGUACACACCGCCCGUCGCUACUACCGAUUGAACGUUUUAGUGAGGUAUUUGGACUGGGCCUUGGGAGGUUUCGGCCUCCCUUGUUGCUCGGAAAGACUCCCAAACUUGAGCGUUUAGAGGAAGUAAAAGUCGUAACA
This 326-nucleotide ribosomal RNA is filed under the name uncultured eukaryote. RNAcentral's name for it is "partial 18S ribosomal RNA". It matches the Rfam family "Eukaryotic small subunit ribosomal RNA", at positions 1470 to 1796 of the family's 1831-position model. The record is from RNAcentral.